GUUUCAUUAUUAUUCCUUAUUAUAUUGUAUUUUUUUUCUUUUUUCUUUUUAUUUCUAAUUUUUGUUUGAAGUAUGUAUUACAUGCAUUACUACUAUGUUGUGGUUUUUUUUCGCCAUUAUCUAAUGUACUUUGUGUUUAUAUUUAUAUUGGGAGAGGACGUCUCUAAUGUUGUUAUAACUUGUGUCCAAUCCCUUUUGCUACUUUUGCAAGUAAAAUAUGUUUAAACUAAAAGGUUAUGCAUAUUGUUGUCAGUUAUAAAUAGAUAUACAAGUCGAAAUGAUAGGACUUUUUUUUACUGGGAACUCAC
Molecule: long non-coding RNA, 308 nt
Filed under: Mytilus galloprovincialis (Mediterranean mussel)
Lineage: Eukaryota; Metazoa; Mollusca; Bivalvia; Mytilida; Mytilidae
Source: RNAcentral